This 126-nucleotide ribosomal RNA is filed under the name Petromyzon marinus (sea lamprey). The record is from RNAcentral. Lineage: Eukaryota; Metazoa; Chordata; Hyperoartia; Petromyzontiformes; Petromyzontidae.
ACCUUUGAGCCAAUCACCCAGAAUGUGGCCCGAUCUCAUGAGACCUCAAAAGCUAAGCAGGUUUUUGAGCCUGGAUAGUGCUUGGAUGGGCGACCGCCACCGUGCAUAAUGCAGGUGUUGUAGGCU